RNAcentral lists this long non-coding RNA (1473 nucleotides) under Equus caballus (horse). RNAcentral describes it as "lncRNA (ENSECAG00000056334.1)". The record is from RNAcentral. Lineage: Eukaryota; Metazoa; Chordata; Mammalia; Perissodactyla; Equidae.
UCUUUGAUGACUCCCUCACCCAUCUUUUUCUUUUCUCCUUGACCAUGGUGCUCUUCCUUAUUGCAGACUUUACUGCCCCUUCAGCCUGGGCUUCAAAAGGUGAACACGUACAGCAGAUGUGAGAGCAACCACCAGCAAGGAACAAAACCUGCACUCAGCAGAACCCAGCCUAGAUCCGCUGACCAGCCAACCAACAUAGAGAUACAUUCAUGAGAAUAAAUAAUUGCUGCAAGUUACAGAGUUCUAUAUAAGUUUUUGGAUGUAGUAUUAUGAUGCUAAUAACUAAUGGAUAUAGAAAUUGAAAAUCAAGAACAGCUUCCCAACUCCUUUUGUGAGGCCAUCAUGUCUAAUCCUAAAAUCAAGAAAGGCAUACAAGAAAAGAAAACCACAGACUAAGGUUCUUCCUGAACAUGGAUGCACAAAGCAUUGACAAAAUAUGAGCAAACUGCAUCCAGCAAGGUGCACAGAGGAAAGGCCAUAUGAGCACACAGAGGGAAGGUGGCCGUCCACAAGCCAAGAGAAGAGGGCUCAAAAUGAAACCAAUCCACCUGGAGCCUGGAUCUGGGGCUUUUAGCGUAUAUAACUCUGAGAAAAUAAACUUGUGUUGGUUAGACCGCCUAGUGUUUCAUAUUUUGUUACAGCAUCCUGAGCUGACUAAUUCAUCUCAUAUGGGCACAUUCCUUGUUAGGAUUCUCUUACAGAGAAUCUCUUUCCAAGAUGAAAUUAAAGGGAAGUGAAUUCUCUCUUCAUUUCUUAAAAAUCACAAUGUAUAUCUGGGGAAUAAGAAAUUGUGGAAAAGCAAGGUGAAAUCCCCCAGGGGAAUGAGUUCCAGCAAUUCUCAUGACACACGGUGUGGCCUAACUCCCUAGCUUGUUGUUUUAUGUGCCUGGAGAAUCUGAAGAACAAGGCCAUCUGGAUCUCUAGACUUGAGUGCUGCUUUCCUGGAAUCCACCCUUGGAGCCCAGCCAUGUUGCAGGCUGACCCCAACCACCUGGAGGAGCCACCUGGGAGCACUGUGGUCCAUAGCCCCAACUGAGCUCCAGCCAGGUGAAUGUGCCAUCUUGUGAUGUUCAGUCCAGUCGAGACUUGUGGUGGCACAUCCUGCACGCCAUCUGAUGGCAACUCUGUGAAAGGCUCCUAGCAAGACCUGCCCAACCAAACCCUUCCUAAGCUCCUGACCCACAAAACAAUUACCCAAAUAAAAUGGUUGUUGUAAGUUGCCAAGUUUUGAGUUAAUUUGUCAGGUAGCAAAAGAUAACAGGAACAACCACCCAAAACAGAUGUGCAUUUGCCAGGGCCAAGGGAACUUACAGGGAACCACAUGUGAUAUUGGAGGAAGCAAAAAACCUUUAAGUUACAGUGAAUCACUGGAAGCAGCAGUGGGGUUGUGGGUCAGCUCGGAGGAAGGAGUGUUGAGGUCUAAGCAGGAGUGUCCUUUGGAGUCACAUGGUUCAGGGCAAAAGGGAAUGACAG